Long non-coding RNA from Gossypium arboreum, 448 nucleotides. RefSeq lists it as uncharacterized. NCBI's taxonomy places the organism in Eukaryota, Viridiplantae, Streptophyta, Magnoliopsida, Malvales, Malvaceae. The record is from RefSeq and is a predicted model, not a curated record. The transcript is spliced from 3 exons.
AUCAUCUUCUUCAUUGGGCUGAAAUUUCAAGGUUUCUCCAUAGCUAAGUUUGUUCCAAGCUUCCAAGCUCCAUAAUCAAGAAGAACAAAAUCCGGAGUUAGACCGGGGAAAGAAAAAGAUAGUGGACUAAAUCGAUAUAGUUGAUCGUAUUUUGUUUCGAGUUUUGUCAAGCUAACUCGGGGAUCGUAAAGUACGUCGGAGGUCCGGGCACACUAUCACGAGGAUUAUUUUGGUAUAGCUAGACGUUUUAUUUUGAGUAUGGCAUGUAUAACAUCGUAGCCAGUUUGUGUGUAUAAUCUUAUGAUAUAGCUAAUGAAUCGUAUGUAAAUGCUUGAUAAUCAUUAGCUGUUGGAAUGGCUAAUCAAGGACAUGUUUGGUGUUAUGUAUGCCUAAAUGCUAGUUAUUCCAUGGAAAUCAUGAAAAAUGUGAAAUUAGCUUUAAAAUAGUA